Molecule: small RNA, 22 nt
Filed under: Arabidopsis thaliana (thale cress)
Lineage: Eukaryota; Viridiplantae; Streptophyta; Magnoliopsida; Brassicales; Brassicaceae
Description: ATSL118570
Source: RNAcentral
GAUGAAGGAGAAGAAGCUGCUG